UAUUUUACUUGCAUGGCCUUAUAUACCCAUUUAAAUACAUUUGAAAUAAAUUUGUUAUUUGAAGUUCUUCCUUUUGAUAGGGAUGUGCAAGUCGGAUAGCUUGAACUGAAAAUAACUUGGACCGAAUUGAACUAGCCAAUUGAGUUUGGGUCCCAUAAGUGUAGGUCUAAUUUUCAAUCCUAAAAGGGAAUCAAACAGGAUCAACUAUAUAUACUCUCUUUUUUAUCUUUUAAAUUUCUUCAAAUAAUAUAAAAGUCACUAGCUUUUUUUCCCCCUAAUUUCUUCAUAAUAGAAGGCAUCAAAUAGUGAGAAAAAAAUCCAACUCCAUGAUACCGGAUUGAAAAUCAAUCACUGUUCUGUUUGGUGAUUCUUGAUUGAUUAGCAAUUUUUAUCGUAGGUUUUCACUUUCUUAUUUUGAAAACCAGGAGCAAAAUGUAUGCUACCUCGCAUCCACGAUAGACAAUUUUUAUAUUUAUGAGAGUUCACCUCCCUUAAUGUUUCAUUGUCCAUGAUAAUGACCACAGGUAAUGACACUUUCCUAAAUGUUAAUUUCAACUAUUUAACAAAAUAUUGACUUCUCAGGUGGUCUUAUCAUGAUUUCGUAUCCUUUAAGCGCUCCGACGAUUCUAAUAACGAGGGUAGGGAAAGGGUGAAUCAUCAUAAUGUCCCUACAAGUCCACUGAGGCAUCUUAACUUAAGCUCAUCUUUCACUUGGUCCCUCUGUAACGGGAUAAGUCCCAAGUCACCUUUUGUCCUCCUUCCUGGAUGGAAAGUGGUACCUGAUUUUUGCAGAAGAGAUAGCAGAAACAAUCCGCAAAUUCACAGAAGGACAAAUGCUUCAUAAACAGAGCUCACUGUGAGGGAAAGGAUACAAGCGAGUGAUUCCCGCUGUCCAGGACUUUCCGAUAUUGCUUUGUCCCAAGUGUCUUGAUCCCGAUACAGAAGAAGCCGCUCAAAUCGUCUUCAUCCUCUAUCCUCAUCCUCAUGGACCUCUGUUUGGAAGAACAGGAAAUCACAACAUGAAGGGGGUUGGCCUUUUGGAAUCGCUGAUUCCUGAGACACGACCGACCAAAUUUGUUCUAUCCUAUGGAUCCAGUUCUCUUUAUCCGGCUGGGACAGCUAAUAGGACCCUGAAGGGAAUGCUCAGAUGACAUGGCUUCGUCUACUCAAAGAACAGCUCAUAGAUGAGAUAUUCUCAGUUUGAGAGGUGUAGAACAAGCAUAUGCAUCAUCAUUGCUGAAUUAGAAAACAUAUUCAACAAGCGCCAUCUUAAGCAAGUACUGCAAAAAAUUCAACCCAAAAACUAAUGACAAUAUCAAUAACCCGGGAAAAAAAAAUCAAGGGUAAGAAAAGGGCUCAGAUGGUUUUUGCUCACUCCUCGAAAAGAUUCAAACGAGACCUCCUCGUAAGUUAGAGGUGUCGAAGCAGAAGGACAUCAUCGCCCAUCAUUCAAACCAUUCAUUUUUAAUUUGAGUAAAUCUGAUCGAUUGUAAAUAUCUGUUAAGAAUGUCUGGCAAAAAACAUAACACCAACAGGAAAACUUGCCCAGGACUCCCCACUGAAAGCAACGGUAAAAAACAUCUCACAAAGCACCGUGAGUUUUAAAAACAGUGGUUAAAGAUGAAACUGCAAAGUGCUAACUUGACACAUCAAAAAUUUGAGUAAAUCGGAGAAUGGUUUCGAACCAUUCAUUUUUUUAAGGUUUAUCAGCAAUGCCUCAAAACAUCGCAAUCAAAAUCCCAGGAACUUGGGCGUUCUUCUAGUAAAAUUCACUCGCACUGGAACGAUUCGCAUGGCCUCCCUCCAUCCAUCAUCAAUUCAUCAUACGAACAACAGCGAAACAAUCGAGCCGACUCUCCAUUUAACCCCUUCUCCAAUCUUGCCCAAUCUAACCACUCCCCUUUAGAGAGCUUUCAAGAAAUCUAAGGCUGUGAACGCAUAUGCGAAAGCUUGAAGUGAAAAGGAUAGCAUGUGAAAACGGAACCUACCGUACAAAGACGACACCUUUUUGAUCAUCUCGCCAUCUCUUG
This 2030-nucleotide long non-coding RNA is filed under the name Eucalyptus grandis. Its description in RNAcentral is "long non-coding RNA (EGRA_LNC000374)". The record is from RNAcentral. Lineage: Eukaryota; Viridiplantae; Streptophyta; Magnoliopsida; Myrtales; Myrtaceae.